Chrysemys picta bellii (western painted turtle) is the source of this 525-nucleotide non-coding RNA. The record is from RefSeq and is a predicted model, not a curated record. Lineage: Eukaryota; Metazoa; Chordata; Testudines; Emydidae.
ACUGUAGACAUAUACAGAAUUGGGCGGCAGAGCAGACUGCAGAGUGGAAAGGUGACGGGCCACAAGCUCCCGACAGUGGAUCAGCUGGGAGCUGUCCAUCUAGAUUGGAGAAACAGACACGGGCAUUGCAAAACAAGAUACAGAUCCAGAGAUUAGCUCCACUGAAUUCGACACAGUUACAACCAGCUAAAGAUCGGUGCCAUAAAGUCAGAUCAACCAAAGUCUAGGCUUAUUUCCACUUUCUAAUCUGGGGGCUCAAUUCUACUCUCAUGCCCAUUGACACUAUGGGGGAUAUCCUCUGACUUAUACCAGCAAGAGAACAAUCAGCCCCAGUCUGUCUCUGUGCCAUGCAAAUAUAUCAUUAAAGGUACAUGCAUCUUCUUGUAACUUGCCUAUGACUUGACUCCGCUUUUAUUGGAUGGGUGUGUUACACUGACUGCAGCAACAACUACUAUACUGGUGUCAAAGAUUUCCUGGAGCCUAGGGACACAAAUCAACUUGAAUGAACAAGAAGUAGGUCUAUGU